AGACCCGAAACCCGGUGAUCUAGCCAUGGGCAGGUUGAAGGUUGGGUAACACUAACUGGAGGACCGAACCGACUAAUGUUGAAAAAUUAGCGGAUGACCUGUGGCUGGGGGUGAAAGGCCAAUCAAACCGGGAGAUAGCUGGUUCUCCCCGAAAGCUAUUUAGGUAGCGCCUCGUGAAUUCAUCUCCGGGGGUAGAGCACUGUUUCGGCUAGGGGGCCAUCCCGGCUUACCAACCCGAUGCAAACUGCGAAUACCGGAGAAUGUUAUCACGGGAGACACACGGCGGGUGCUAACGUCCGUCGUGAAGAGGGAAACAACCCAGACCGCCAGCUAAGGUCCCAAAGUCAUGGUUAAGUGGGAAACGAUGUGGGAAGGCCCAGACAGCCAGGAUGUUGGCUUAGAAGCAGCCAUCAUUUAAAGAAAGCGUAAUAGCUCACUGGUCGAGUCGGCCUGCGCGGAAGAUGUAACGGGGCUAAACCAUGCACCGAAGCUGCGGCAG
RNAcentral lists this ribosomal RNA (499 nucleotides) under Salmonella enterica subsp. enterica serovar Infantis. RNAcentral's name for it is "partial 23S ribosomal RNA". It matches the Rfam family "Bacterial large subunit ribosomal RNA", at positions 711 to 1208 of the family's 2925-position model. RNAcentral also lists the same sequence under 12 other names. Lineage: Bacteria; Pseudomonadati; Pseudomonadota; Gammaproteobacteria; Enterobacterales; Enterobacteriaceae. The record is from RNAcentral.